RNAcentral lists this ribosomal RNA (437 nucleotides) under uncultured Agrobacterium sp. Its description in RNAcentral is "bacterial SSU rRNA". It matches the Rfam family "Bacterial small subunit ribosomal RNA", at positions 343 to 797 of the family's 1533-position model. The record is from RNAcentral. Lineage: Bacteria; Pseudomonadati; Pseudomonadota; Alphaproteobacteria; Hyphomicrobiales; Rhizobiaceae.
GGGGGGCAGCAGUGGGGAAUAUUGGACAAUGGGCGCAAGCCUGAUCCAGCCAUGCCGCGUGAGUGAUGAAGGCCCUAGGGUUGUAAAGCUCUUUCACCGAUGAAGAUAAUGACGGUAGUCGGAGAAGAAGCCCCGGCUAACUUCGUGCCAGCAGCCGCGGUAAUACGAAGGGGGCUAGCGUUGUUCGGAAUUACUGGGCGUAAAGCGCACGUAGGCGGAUAUUUAAGUCAGGGGUGAAAUCCCAGAGCUCAACUCUGGAACUGCCUUUGAUACUGGGUAUCUCGAGUAUGGAAGAGGUGAGUGGAAUUCCGAGUGUAGAGGUGAAAUUCGUAGAUAUUCGGAGGAACACCAGUGGCGAAGGCGGCUCACUGGUCCAUUACUGACGCUGAGGUGCGAAAGCGUGGGGAGCAAACAGGAUUAGAUACCCUAGUAGUCAU